UGAGCAAAUUAUUGUAUUCGACUGUAUUCACGGCAUGAAACAGGGGAUAACACUGUUUUUAAACGGAAAGUGAA
RNAcentral lists this microRNA precursor (74 nucleotides) under Nicotiana sylvestris (wood tobacco). RNAcentral describes it as "MIR6152 microRNA precursor family". It matches the Rfam family "MIR6152 microRNA precursor family", at positions 1 to 75 of the family's 97-position model. The record is from Rfam by way of RNAcentral. Lineage: Eukaryota; Viridiplantae; Streptophyta; Magnoliopsida; Solanales; Solanaceae.